This is a long non-coding RNA of Mus musculus (house mouse), 2489 nucleotides long. RefSeq annotates it as predicted gene, 38592. The transcript is spliced from 2 exons. Lineage: Eukaryota; Metazoa; Chordata; Mammalia; Rodentia; Muridae. The record is from RefSeq and is a predicted model, not a curated record.
CUGGCCACCUCUCCCUCACGUUCGUCACUUUAAACGGUUCGCCCAGCCUCUCUAACCUGAUCUCCGUCCAUCGUUUUUUUUUUUUGUUUUUUUUUUUCUUUUUUCAGCACCAUAGUUGAACUCCCUGAGUUCAUGUGGCUACCUAACUCGGCCAGUCAUUCCUUUCUUUGUUCCCCUGAGAAUGUAUUAGAGAAGUGCCGAGUUCAUAUUCAUCACAGGGUAUUUCUUGUUCCAGCGGAGGCGCACAUACCAGUUAGGAUGUGUGUAGCAGUGAAAGGCCAAUAUUGAGAGGGACAAAGUGGCCAGAAAAGUCAGUUUACCACGUGUGUAACUGGGACCAAGGAGUGGAAGAAGCCUGUAAUAUUCUGCAACAAAUUCCCCCCCCCCCCACUUCAGACACCUGCUUAAAAUUCGAACAUAACUUUCUCGUCACACCUGGCCUUCCACUCAGCACUCCUUGUCCCCGCAGAAUGGAGCUGGUAUUUCAUAAUGGAUUAGAGGAAGUGUUUUCAUCAGUCAGGCUUUUGUAUUCUCUCCUAAGCAUGUCCCUGUGAGAAAUUCUCUUCCCGCAGUACUGCGUCGCUUGAAUCCUAAAGGCAUCCUCAUUUCUGGCCCUCCAGGCUUUUGCACUUCGUUUGCCCUGAUGUGUUAUAGUAAGCUGUUGGUUUCCAUGGCCUUGCCGCUAGAAUAAGCUUUUGGAAACUGGAAACUGUGUCUCAGGACCUUUAUGAAUCUAGUUUUCCAAGGUAAGAAGACACUGCGUUUGCUCCUGUUUUUUUGCAGGAGGGAAAAAUGAGACCCAGAAGGUGAUUUGGCCAGACUCUGGCUUGAGAGGCCUUUCUCAUGCAAGGGAUUUUCCUUAGUAUAAAACUUGCAGUACACUUAUGUUACAUACUGCUGACGGGCUGAGACCUCUCAGAGAUCUGCCUGCCUCUGCUUCCCAGUGCUGGCCUGAAAGGCAUGUGCCACCAUGCUCACCCCCCAAGUAGAUUGAAGUGUGGCCCUGGUGGGAGUUAGGCGAUUCUUUAUUUCCAGGAGAUGUUUUCUGUAGAAUGCUGGGGGUGGAGAGAAGCCCUUUUCUUCUCAGGUGGCUAGAAAGGCCUGUGUUGUCAUGCUCUCGAUCCAGAAUUUCCAGACUGUCUUGUCAGUUUGUCCUGUGAUGACUCAGCCGCAGUAGCAGGUGUAUGUGUUGGGAAUUAUGUGAGGCUGUUUGGAGGAGAUGCAAGAGCAAAUACUUGGACUGUGGUGGGAAUGACCGUGUUCCCGGGAGAUUUUAAACCUUACUUGGCUGCAAGCUUGUAUGUAUCAGAUAGCUGAAGCAGUUUGUUUUAGAGGGGUUAGCUUACAGCCAGCUCACAUUUUAAUAUUUUCAGGGGUUGGGAAGAGAGGCAUUGAAAAGAGCUGAAAUAUGAGAACUGUCAUCCUUGAUUUGUGGUCACACUUGACUUGCUCAGUUAAGGGUUGGGAAGGAAAAGUUGUAAUCUCAGCGUUCAGAGGCUUGUGGAUCACUGAGUUCGAGGGCAAGUUCCAGGACAGCCAGAAAAAUCCUGUCUCUGGAAACCAGGAGAAAACACAUACACACAGAGACUGGGAAGGGUCAGGGUAUGUUGUAAAAUAAUCAAGCCUGAGUUUCUCAUGAAAUCAUUACUUUGUUAGGUUAGACCAUUUGUAAGGUCUGAGAAACAUGAUUAAAAAAAAAUUGGGGCUGGGAGCAAUUAUACAUGACUCUAAGGGAAACUGAUCCCACACAGCAGAAUCCCAGACUUCGAACCAGCACAGGCUGUGUUAACCCCCCCCCCCCCAAAAAAAAAAAUUAAGGCUGGGGACUGGACGUGUGAUUGAGUGGUAGAGUGAGGAUGUUUGCCAAAAGGCAUUGGUGGUCUUGUUAGGGACUGGUUCAGGGAGCUAUGGGUGUUGGGAAUAGUAAAUUGUGAAAUUACCUUGGAGUUCCUGAAUAAUGGUUGGACCAUGGAUGUCUUUGAUAGACUUGGUUUGGAAAAGGUCUUUGGCUUUAAAUGUAGCCCAUGUAGCUGAUAGGGGAGGACUCUCUCUGAAGGAUUGGGCUUAGCACAGGAGGAGUGAACUUAAGUAAGUGCUGUGUUUAAGUGUAGGCUUGCGAAGUAAUCCUUGGGGUGUGUAGGGACAGACUGUUUCAGAUGGCGCUGGUGCCAGAGUCAUUACAGGUCCAGAAUUGCCCUAAUCAGGAACUUUGAUGAGUCCACUUGGGUAGUGUGCUUUGGACAGUUGAUACUAUGUCUAACAAAGCUUGAAUUCUAGAUGCAUGCUGCCUUUUGCUAUCACCUAUGUAGGUUGAUCUUCUAGAACUCUGUUGGUGACACUGGGCAUAGUAGUACAUGUCUUUACUCUCAUAACUUGGGAGACAGGCAGGGAGAUAUCUGUGAGUUUCAGGCCUAUUUGGUCUAUCCAUAGUGAAUUUUAGGACAUCUGAGGCUACAUAGACCCUGUCUUUUUUUUUUUUUUUUUUUUUU